RNAcentral lists this long non-coding RNA (1179 nucleotides) under Homo sapiens (human). RNAcentral's name for it is "non-protein coding lnc-FAM49B-8:1". The record is from RNAcentral. Lineage: Eukaryota; Metazoa; Chordata; Mammalia; Primates; Hominidae.
UCUAGUUGGAUAAAUAUAAAUAUUUGGAAAAUGGUACCCUGGAAAAUGAUACCAUUGAAAAGGGCCAUAAAAGAGGAACGUUCUCAUUCUUGAUAUAGCACAGAAGUUGGGCAUCAUUAAAGGUGAUGAACUCAACUUAAAUUCAUCAAAGAAACCUGGGUGUAUUGUAAGUUUUUCUCAUUUUUCAGGUUAAUGUGACUUUAUCAGAAAUAAGCAAGAUUUUAAAUCCCUCGUUCCUAUAGAUCGCAAGUUUUUAGGACUCCCAUAAAACACCAUGAUUUUUUUCUUCAUUGGAGGUUGUUUUACUUGUAUUAGAAAUGAUGUAGCUCAUAAAAGGGAGCCAGUUCAAUUCAAAACACAUUUAUGGGGGCCCACAAGGGACCCCAACUAGGCAGUGCUUUCCUAGAGAAGAAAAAGCCUACAGGGUUUGGAUUCAGACUGACUGAAUAGCAUUUUUCCACUUAUUAACUGUUAACCUUGAGCAAAUUGUGCUUAUCUCUGAGUUCUCUUGCAGAAAACACACUACCUCACUAGGUUACUAGGAAGAUUUCAGGAGAUGGUGCUUGUAAAAGGCCAAGCCUGGGGCUCCAGGAAUCUUCUGUCCUUGCUUUAGUUGCUGGGGGAUGUAGGUGAUACAGACAUGGGUAGGAUUUAGUCCCUGAAUGCUGUCAGGGAUUGAUAGUCUGGGACUUUGCGGUAUAGGAUACUCACUUGGAAGAUACAAGGUGUUUGUUUGUUUGGCAUUUGUUUUUUGUGUUUUAUUUUAUUUAUUUAUUUUUUGAGACUGGAUUGCUCUGUUGUCCAGGCUGGAGUGCUGAGGUGCAGUGGUGCAAUCAUAGCUCACGGCAGCCUCAAACUCCUGAGCCCAAGUGAGAGAUGAGUCAGAGCCAAGCCCUUCUGCUAACAGAGCUAUUUGUUGCUGAGGAAGUUCUCAGUUUCUCCUCUGAAUGGUGCCAAUAUCCUCCAGUUGCUUAAGGCAGAGUGAGAGAAGCUGACUGUGGAUACCCACAUGAAGAUUAAUCCCACCUGGAGGAAUGGGGCAAGGAGCUGCUCUCUAGACCAGUCAAGCUUGCAUUUGAAUUGGGCUUGUAAUGAGUUCCCCAGAAGGAAAACACACGCACAUAUACCCCAACAGAAAAAGCAUCCUGGGGCUGUGGACUCAUCCAUUGUCUUUGAUAA